This is a long non-coding RNA of Salvia splendens (bonfire salvia), 5405 nucleotides long. RefSeq lists it as uncharacterized. The transcript is spliced from 2 exons. The record is from RefSeq and is a predicted model, not a curated record. Lineage: Eukaryota; Viridiplantae; Streptophyta; Magnoliopsida; Lamiales; Lamiaceae.
AUAAGGCUUUAUCUUGGUUCACUUAUGGGUUUGAUAGCAGAGAUAAUAUCUUCGAGUUAUUGUUUAAGAAUAAGACAAAGUUUAAGUCAUAAAAGAAUGAUUGAAGUUAUUAAAUUAUUAAGUCAUUAACACUAAAAUAAUGCCGUUGUUUUGUAGAGAUCAACACCACAGCAACUCCCGAUGCACCGAAUCCCGUCUGCGGAAUAAUCAAACCUGCUACGUACUCGUUACAUAUUUUCUUCUCUCUCCAUAUUUGGCAGCAGCUAUAGCCUAUAGCAUUUCAUACACAAUCUGCAAAGUGCAAACAAUUACUCGCCAUUUUCCUCAAUCUAUCUCUUCCAUUGGAAUUUGGAGGAGUGCCUUCUACUCUACGCAUCGUCGUCGACUGUAAUACUUCACUUUUGCUCGCGCCGGUUGAAAAAAUAUCUCGAAUAAGAAGGUAAUUUACGAAUCAUCGUUAUACUACCUUUUUUUUUCUCUGUGUUGUUGUGUCCUUUCAUCCUCAGGUUUUGGAUGUAUGUUUCCAACUCCAAGCCUUAGUUUUUGAUGGUGCCGUCUGGUCUACGUGCGUAAAGUUGUUAGUGUUCUGAGAAAAAUAGAUGAUAAUAUACAAUAUUGGAUUUAAGAGGUGUGCGUUAUGUGUAUAUUAUUAGAAUUUGGUAGUAUUUUAAUUUUGAUCGCACAAGAGAGAGGAUAUGAAGGGAUCAACAUAUACUCUUUGACCUAAAAAAUUCGAUCGGAACUGUGCGAUUGCGCUUUGGAAACUAUACACGUAGUUUUGUUGUAACAUGAUGCAUAUUCCGGCUUACUGAAUGCAGAAUUCACGUACAUCCCUUCCCCCUUUUCUUUGAGGGGCAUUUACUGACGAUGAUUAGCCUAAGAUGAUUUGGAACUUUGGGAUAUCGAGCAGCUAACUUGCUCGAUUAAUAUCCCACUGAAUGAGGCAGGAGCUGGAAAAAUCCUAACAAUGAAUAUAACUACUCAAUCAUGUAUAUUAGUAUCAAUUAGGAAAGCAAAUGUGAUUUGUAUUAUUCAUCCUUCUUUAGGAGCCGAUAAGAGUAUCUUUUUUUUUUUGUAAUUGUUAUGAUGGUCUAACUUCUAGUUUGAUACUUGUUUUCAUUGUGUGGCCUUUCACUUCUUGAACUAACUAUUGUAUUGAUCAAUUCCUUUGAGGAAAAAAUUGUUUUAUUGAUCCAUUGAGAUAACUAGAAAUACUAAUGAUCCAGUUUUAUUUAGCUCAUAUGUAAGAGCUGACAGAUGCUUCUAUUUGUUUUUCUGGAAAUAGGAAGAGCACAUCUUGUUGGAUUUUCGUAACGGACUUUAGGACUAUGUAUUCAUACUAUUACUUUGAUGUUUUUAUAGUGUGAGCAUACCUUCAUAGUUCUUAUCUGCUUCCUCUACACAUGUUCAAAAAAUCUUGCCUUUGUUUGAUUUUCUUCGCAUGAUCAACAUCAUGAUUCACUAGAUGAUUCAGUUGAAAGUUGUCAUCCUGAUUACAUAUGUGGUCAAUAUCAUCUUUGGAGCCUAUUAGUCACUUUUGAAUAUAGUUUUUAUGAUUUUCAGUCCUUUUUGUUUGCUAAUAUCGUCAUGUUCUAUUUUCAUCUGGCUCAAUAGUAUCAUUGGCUCAAAUUGAUGUUCACGCACUUAAAAAGUUUAACCAUUAUAUUUAUUUGCAAAUUGGCUGCCAUUUGUGCUCUGACUUCUAAAUUAAAGGAGUAUCAUGGCAUGAAUCUAGAGAAUGUAUCGUUGUGCCAGUUGAUUUGGAUAUUAGUAAUCUCCCAACUGUGGAAUUUUAAAUAAAAUCUCUACAAAGGGUCAGUAAGCAAUCAAGCACAACAUUUAGAAAUGAGGGAAAAAUAUCAGACCUUUUGUUUGCGGGAGAUCUGUAGCUGAUUUUCCAGAUUUUGGAGGUCAUUGAUGCUCAAUCCUGAAAGCUCUUCUCCUAAAAGCUGCCUGUACUUAUCAGAAAAGGGCAUGUGGUAUAUUCUUAAUUUCUCAUCUCACUCUUAACAUAUUUUUACUCUAACUGAUGGUAACUUAAAUCUCAUUGGCCAAUGUUGUCUUACACAACAAUCUUCGAAUGUUUUUGGUCGUACUCUCGAAAUUCCAUUAUUCUUUACUUGAUGUGUAGAGAAAAUAUGCAUUUGGUUCCUUAAUUUCUAAGACAAGUAAUAUAACUGAGUAUAAUGAGAAGAAAUAGUAACCUCGAAGCCUUUAAGCAUUUUAAGGUGGUCUACAAUGUGUUCUUUGAAUUGACUAUUUGUGUAUAUCUGGUAUUUGAUUGACUAUCAUAAACAAUUCUAACUUUACUCAACACCUCCUCUCCAAACAAAAAGAAGAAGAAGAAGAAGAAGAAGAAGAAGAAGAAGAAGAAGAAGAAGAACUCUUAGAACUUAGAACUCUAAUUAUUACAUUGAUAUUCUUAACACACCAAGAAAAUGGACAAAUUUUCUCUUAGAACUCUAAUUAUUACAUUGAUAUUCUUAAAUUAUAGUCUGUACUUUUAACCCAUGGAACUUUUUUGUCUAAACUUAAAAUAUUACAAAUAUAGCCUUUGCUUAUGUCCAUUGUUUACUUAAUAGCUCAAGUCAAAAGUUUAACUUACAUCUUACGCUGAUGUGUCUUCGAGAAACAUGAAUAAGAGCAACUAGUGAUACGUCUACAAACAACCUGUAAUACUCUUUUAAUAUACUGAAACAACGAAAACUCUCUUAAAUUACCCAAAAUUUGUGACUCAGUUUAAUAAGUGAAUAACAUAGAGAAAUAAGUACUAUACUUGUAAUAUUUUUAAUUUUGUGCUAAAAAGUCAGCAUGAGGUUAAUAUUCAGGCAAUAAUUUAAGAAUAUGACUUAUUACCUUGAAAACUGAAAAAAAUGAACAGUUGGCAUUGAUAACCUGGGAGGAUAAUAUUAAACUAUAAAUUGUUAAUGAGACACUUUUGGGGUCAUAAUUCAUCUACAAGUAGGACACUUGUUGGAGGAGGUAGGGAGUGAUGUGGAAUGUGAGAAUAUCACUUUUGACUUUUGUUGGUAUCUCUUAUCUCAUUGCAUAUUGCAAUCAAUUAUCACCUUACCCGCACAGAAAAGAGAAACUCGUCAGAUUUAUAGCUAACUAACUUAUGUCAAUAUCAUACUCCUUGGCGUGUUCAUUAUGGUAUCAUUGAUUUCAAUAUACAUAAAAUUUAGUCAACAACUAUGUAUAACAUGUCAAAUGCAAAUUUGCAUUCACCUGUGGCAUUGUUGCAAGUACUGCAGCUGUUGCCCCAAGCUUGAUGCUUCCCUUUGCCAAAACUACAAUAAAGACAAAAUGGAUGAUUAGUCUAAUUGGCCAUAAUUCUGCUGAUAUCAGGUCUAUAAUAGACUGCAUUAUUCGCAAAUGCUAUGUUGAACCCAAAACUCUUGAAAGGUCUCGUGUAUGUGAAAGUAUCACUAUCCUCAUAAAAUGCUUAGUCAUAUGCAUUGCCUAAGUAAGUAUUGGGAACUAUUGCUGUGUUUUUCAAUUCAUAUAGUGAGUUCUGGACCUAGCAGGUUUCGGUUGGUGAAGCAUUUUCACUAUGCAUAUGGUGUCCAAUCAUGUGUCUGAGCUAAGGUAUACCCUGCUAUUCCCUUCUGUUUACCAAAUGUUUAAAUUGUUCUGAGUGGUAAUAAAUAUUUAAAGCACGGGCAUACAUGUUCACGUUGUGAAUAAAUUCUGUUAAAUUUGGUUUCGUUUAUGGAAUCAUAACAGUAACUUCAAGUAAUGUUUGAUCUUGAUAUCUAGGGAAUAGUUGGUUAAGGAACCUUUUAAAAAACCAAAUUAUUGACAGUUGCUCUUCUGAGGGAAGAAAGGAACAUCUGGAAGAAGAAAGAUUGAUGUAUCCAAUAUAAAUCCUGCAGAACCUAGUAAAAAGGAAUUGUGUGAGUUGUCCCAAAGGGUACUUGUACAGCAUGUAGCACUAGAGUUCUAAAUAAUAUGGAGUGAGAAAUUCCCAUCUGGCUGUUCAAAGUUCAAACUAAUUUUAAGAGCAUGAUCUGUGGAGUUCUCACAUCCUGUAGCUAUGACAUUUUUAGAAUUCAAGAAUUUAAGGUGGUUAAGUACCUAGAAAAUCUGACAAAGGUGUCAAUGUUUGAUCGAGGACUUAGGUUUCUGGAAGGGAAAUCUUAAAUAUUCUAAAAUGUUGGCAAUAUAGUGAUUCUUGUGUACCGGAGGGUGUAUCUUUUUACAGAAAAAUGUAUCUGCCUUUUGAAACCUUAGUCUUCUGUGGGUUGCAACUCGUCAGUAAUUGGGACUUUGAUUUCCAUCAUCCAAUUUUGUUUUAGGCGUAAAAUUCUCAUCUCGAUGAGUCGAUCUCCUGACCUCUUACUUCCUUAAGCAACACACUUAAUGAAUCACCCUUAGCUUCAUCUUUGUAAAAUUUACUUCCACUGAAUCUGCAAGAAUAAAGAAUUUCGGGGGAUGAAUGUUGAAGGGAAGAUACUGGACACCGAAAUUUUGAUGCACUAUUUUGAAGUUACGGGAAUCUCAAUUUCUCUUAAGCCUUGAUAAUCUAUCACUAAUCUUUCAGAGACAUUCUUGUUGUAUCAUGUGGCAAGUUGGCUGCUUUGCUUAAAACUGACUACAUUGAUAUCCUUCUACUCUAAAACUUGGGUUAUGGUUUUAUGCUUCGAGUCCCUGCUAGGAAAAUAGAGCUACAAGUGUUCUAUCUUCUUUGAGAGUGUUCAUUUCUAUGUCAAAGCUUAGAUGCUGCUAAAACUGAACUUAUUGAAGCAACAUUAUGUGAUAGUAGCUGAAUGCCAAAGAGUUCUCCUAUUGUUGCAAUAUUAAAUCAUAGAUCAAGUCAUAACCAUAUCUUUAACUAUGUUCUAUACUCUUCAUUCUAUGAUCUUCUUUGCUUUCUUGUUCAAAGCUCUUAUAAGCUUUCAUCCAAUGUAAAUCAGUUAAGAUAUCUUGCUAUGCACCACUAGGAAUCAGAAGGCUGAACUUGAUGAUCCAGAUAGGUUAGUGGAGGGAUGUUAGCCUCAUGCCCUUAAGAUAUCUUGCUUAUGUAAUUCUGAUAAAAUUCUUGUUAGCUUCAAUAUGGGAUAGCGAGUGUUCCCACUGGCAAGUUCGUAGGAAGGCAGUUGAUCUGUUGUUGGAUCUCUUUAAGUUGCCCAAUUUGCAAAUAAGUAGAAAUCCAGAACUACUAUAAUUUUGGCUUCUAUGACAACCUUUCCAAGAUUUUCAGUUGAAAUAGUAAGAGUAUCGAUUGCUUAGAAUUUGGCUUCAAGCACGAACCAGUACAAGACGACUGAAGUGCCAAAAUUCUGUAUCCAUUUUUUUAGAUGUUGCAGAGAGAGAAAAAGAGAUUGCAUGUAAUAUGCACAGUUGUUUCUAUGAUAUGCACUAGCACAACUUUGUUCAAAAUUUUUAUCAUUCAGUUUCACCAA